Molecule: ribosomal RNA, 472 nt
Filed under: uncultured bacterium
Lineage: Bacteria
Description: bacterial SSU rRNA
Rfam family: Bacterial small subunit ribosomal RNA
Source: RNAcentral
UGGGGAACAUUGGACAAUGGGGGAAACCCUGAUCCAGCGACGCCGCGUGUGUGAAGAAGGCCUGCGGGUUGUAAAGCACUUUCGGUGGGAACGAAAUAUGCCGGGCUAAUACCCCGGUAGGCUGACGUUACUCAAUGAAGAAGCACCGGCUAACUCUGUGCCAGCAGCCGCGGUAAUACAGAGGGUGCGAGCGUUAAUCGGAAUUACUGGGCGUAAAGCGCACGUAGGUGGCGACGUAAGUCGGGUGUGAAAGCCCCGGGCUCAACCUGGGAACCGCAUUCGAGACUGCAUUGCUGGAGUACGGAAGAGGAGGGCGGAAUUCCCGGUGUAGCGGUGAAAUGCGUAGAUAUCGGGAGGAACAUCAGUGGCGAAGGCGGCCCUCUGGUCCAGUACUGACACUCAAGUGCGAAAGCGUGGGGAGCAAACAGGAUUAGAUACCCAAGUAGUCCCUGAGCGGGCUGGCAAGGCGCAU